UCAAUUCCCUUGACUUCCUACUUUCCCACAAAUCUCAUAUUUUGGUGGUUCGAAAAGGGGGCGGGGACGUCCCCGACAGGUUAUAGGAACGUAAACACACCAACAUCAGUUGUCAAGUGAUGGUGGGAGGACAAAUACAAACAAAUACAUACAUACAUGCAUAUAUAUAUAUAUGAAACCGAUAGAAUAAGUACUAGGCUUACAAAGAAUAAGUCCUGGGGUUGAUUUGUUCGACUAAAAGCAGUGCUCCAGCAUGGCCACAGUCAAAUGACUGAAACAAGUAAAAGAUAUUUUAAUUUCAUUUAUGUCUCCCCUCUCUUUCAAGGAAGGCUCAUUCUUUCUUACUUUAUCCAUAGUCUCUCAUCAUUCUAUCUUUCUCUCUCACUCUCCACACAAAAAUGAAAUGCAUUAGUUACCCCAUUGGUGCCAAAAAAUUCCAAAAGGAAAUUGAAAUUUUUUUUUCUAAUUGACUUGAUCCCAUAUCAAAUCUAUUCUGCAAUUUGGGGUUAAUAUAUCCAGUGAUUUUAAGAGGUAUGUAAAAGAAAUUUUAUUUUAACAUUAUACUUUUACCUGUUUCACACACACAAACAUUUUUAAAAAGACUUUAUUCUUUAUGUCUUCUGCCCAGACUCCGUUAGCACUAACUUUAGUAUUUUCACCUAUUCUUCUCAAACUUGCUUGAAUUUUCAAUCUAAUGUAACCUACACUCUCAAAAACACAUUUCUAUAAAAUAUUAUCUAAAAGUAUGGGUAAAGACAAGGAGCUAAUGCAGUUUUUCACCUCACCUUCAAAAAUGCAUUUUAAAAAAAUUUCUUCAGAUUCCUAAGUUUUAUUUAGAUAUUGGAGACAUGCAAAAAAAAAAAAAAAAAAAAAAAAAAGACAGUUUGAUUGAGGCAAGGCAGGAAAAUCUAAUCGGGAUUAUUAUAUAUAUUAUAUCCAGUGAUUUUAAGAGGCAAUGCCCAUGACUGUUUUCAAGGCCUCUGAGAGUAAUGGGAAAAUGAAAGGAAGAAAACAUGUUCCAAAUGUUAUCAUGUACAUCGUAGAUCACUAGACCCAAAUGCUUGCAACAGAGUGGAGCCUGCUAAAGGAACCCAAGGGUCAAAUGACAUACUAGUUUCCUGCAUACAUGACCUGCUGGUGCCAUUCUUUUGUCUGUAAAAUUUAGUAUGCAUGUAUGUCAAGCAACAAGUAGAGACCAGGAUGUCUGCAGACUCAACAAGAAAAAAUAACCCUGAGGCUCACACGAACUUGCUUUUAUUUAACCCUUUUAUUGUGGAAACUAAAGAUAUCAAACCAAAUUUUACAGCCAAAAAUGGUAGGUCAACUUACAUACCAAAAUGAUUUGGACGACUGAAAAUUCCAUGUGAAAUGCAGCAGGUAGUGAUGAUAUUUGAAUGUUUACACUAUAAGCUACAUUGAUUUGUAUGCCAUAAAAUACAGUGGCUCUAGAUACACUGUGCCUAAAAAAAGGAAGAUGAAACAGUUACAACCAGAUUACCAUGAUCAUAUGUUUGCGUGAUGGAGGCUGAUCUAUGGCUAAAUCUCAAUAACAAGAAUAUCAAUGAAAUUAUAAGUUGUGUACAAAUUCAGUUUUAUUGAAAUAAAAAUCAAGUGACUCACAGUUAAAUUAAUGUCAGUCAAACAUGAUCUGACAAAGUUCAAUUUGGCUUCAGGAUCUUGUGAUUUAUUAGCUUGUAA
Molecule: long non-coding RNA, 1698 nt
Organism: Octopus bimaculoides (California two-spot octopus)
Lineage: Eukaryota; Metazoa; Mollusca; Cephalopoda; Octopoda; Octopodidae
Source: RefSeq, a predicted model, not a curated record